CCUAUUCUCGAUGACUUGUCUC
This 22-nucleotide microRNA is filed under the name Scyliorhinus torazame (cloudy catshark). RNAcentral's name for it is "Sto-Mir-26-P4_3p* (star (passenger))". The record is from RNAcentral. Lineage: Eukaryota; Metazoa; Chordata; Chondrichthyes; Carcharhiniformes; Scyliorhinidae.